GUCGAGCGGAUGAAGGGAGCUUGCUCCUGGAUUCAGCGGCGGACGGGUGAGUAAUGCCUAGGAAUCUGCCUGGUAGUGGGGGAUAACGUCCGGAAACGGGCGCUAAUACCGCAUACGUCCUGAGGGAGAAAGUGGGGGAUCUUCGGACCUCACGCUAUCAGAUGAGCCUAGGUCGGAUUAGCUAGUUGGUGGGGUAAAGGCCUACCAAGGCGACGAUCCGUAACUGGUCUGAGAGGAUGAUCAGUCACACUGGAACUGAGACACGGUCCAGACUCCUACGGGAGGCAGCAGUGGGGAAUAUUGGACAAUGGGCGAAAGCCUGAUCCAGCCAUGCCGCGUGUGUGAAGAAGGUCUUCGGAUUGUAAAGCACUUUAAGUUGGGAGGAAGGGCAGUAAGUUAAUACCUUGCUGUUUUGACGUUACCAACAGAAUAAGCACCGGCUAACUUCGUGCCAGCAGCCGCGGUAAUACGAAGGGUGCAAGCGUUAAUCGGAAUUACUGGGCGUAAAGCGCGCGUAGGUGGUUCAGCAAGUUGGAUGUGAAAUCCCCGGGCUCAACCUGGGAACUGCAUCCAAAACUACUGAGCUAGAGUACGGUAAAGGGUGGUGGAAUUUCCUGUGUAGCGGUGAAAUGCGUAGAUAUAGGAAGGAACACCAGUGGCGAA
Molecule: ribosomal RNA, 663 nt
Filed under: uncultured Pseudomonas sp.
Lineage: Bacteria; Pseudomonadati; Pseudomonadota; Gammaproteobacteria; Pseudomonadales; Pseudomonadaceae
Description: bacterial SSU rRNA
Rfam family: Bacterial small subunit ribosomal RNA
Source: RNAcentral